Molecule: ribosomal RNA, 194 nt
Filed under: uncultured bacterium
Lineage: Bacteria
Description: partial 16S ribosomal RNA
Rfam family: Bacterial small subunit ribosomal RNA
Source: RNAcentral
CCUACGGGAGGCAGCAGUGGGGAAUUUUGCGCAAUGGGCUAACGCCUGACGCAGCAACGCCGCGUGGAGGAUGAAGGUCUUUGGAUUGUAAACUCCUGUCAGCAGGGAAAAAGCGACCUGACCUCAUACGUCAGGGAGUUGAUUGUACCUGCAGAGGAAGCCCCGGCUAACUCUGUGCCAGCAGCCGCGGUAAU